This 315-nucleotide ribosomal RNA is filed under the name uncultured eukaryote. RNAcentral describes it as "partial 18S ribosomal RNA". It matches the Rfam family "Eukaryotic small subunit ribosomal RNA", at positions 1470 to 1796 of the family's 1831-position model. The record is from RNAcentral.
CCCUUAGACGUUCUGGGCCGCACGCGCGCUACACUGACCAGUGCAACAAGCAUCCGUCCUUGGCCGACAGGCUCGGGCAAUCUUUGAACGCUGGUCGUGAUGGGGAUAGACUUUUGCAAUUUUUGGUCUUCAACGAGGAAUUCCUAGUAAACGCAAGUCAUCAACUUGCAUUGAUUACGUCCCUGCCCUUUGUACACACCGCCCGUCGCACCUACCGAUUGAAUGGUCCGGUGAAGCCUCCGGAUUGGCGCGCACCUCGGUGCCGCCGAGAAGUUGGUUAAACCUUNCNAUUUAUNGGAAGGUGAANUCGUANCA